GUAAUAAAUCUGACUUAAAUUACAAGAGAAUGCUGGUAAAGUGCCUGAGGGACCGCACCUGGAUCCUAGUGUGCGCUGAGGAAAGGGUGAUGGGUGAUGACCAUUACAGCUUUGUGUCGCCACUUCAUCCUUGUUGCUAAUGCUUGCUGUGUGACUCCAUUAACGAAUGUAGGGCCUGAAGACCCCUGUUGGCUCAGCUUACAGAAAGCCAAAGAACUUUAAAAGUUCAAAGGACACUUACGCUGCAAACCAUGAUCCUUUUCCAAAAGGAAUUUCAAACAAAUGGCAUUUGAAACAGAUGAGACUGGCAACGCUUUCCUUUAUGUAACUCUUUCCCUGUCUGCUUCACAACUAAUUGUUCCAGCAGACAAGCUGCGAGCCUGAAGAAAACAGGAUAUAUUCUUGGAAGUAAUUACUGUACUAAAAUUGAAUGGGGAAAGGCCCCAGCUUUUGAAAACAAUCAGCU
This is a long non-coding RNA of Bos taurus (domestic cattle), 466 nucleotides long. The record is from Ensembl. Lineage: Eukaryota; Metazoa; Chordata; Mammalia; Artiodactyla; Bovidae.